Molecule: non-coding RNA, 2425 nt
Organism: Miniopterus natalensis
Lineage: Eukaryota; Metazoa; Chordata; Mammalia; Chiroptera; Miniopteridae
Source: RefSeq, a predicted model, not a curated record
UGUAUUUUUAACCCUGGGUAGGGGAGCAUAGUUCCUUCAUCUUACGACGGAGGAAACUCUGAGACCCAAGGGUUUAGUUCAACUUUCCAACGUGAGGCACCUGGAACCUGGAGGAAAACCGCAGUGUGACGACAUUAAGUGCUGGUGUGACCGGGGCAGCGGGGACCCUCGUGCCCGCCCCGGGAGCAAAAAUCAGUUGUCUGCCCAGUCACGGAGCUGAAGACGCACAUCGAGACCCAGAAACUUCACCGCUACCUCUCCGCCCAGAGAAGCUUCGCUUGUGAGACUGGGGAUACGCAAAAGCAUCCUCAAGGCAUUGUUUCUAAUAGCAAGAAACUGGAAAACAAUCUCCCAGAUGUCUAUUAGGAGCUUGUGGUCCUGCAGAAUCCCUUUGAACGCACUCGUUGCAAGUUCUGGUGAAAUGCAAUCCCCGGAACAUCAGGAAAAUGUUGUGUGCUGCACAGAAUCGCAGAUUUAACAGUUUUCCUCCUUGUUCCACACUCACGACACGUUGUGUAGAGACGGGCCGUGAACACCGGCCUGGCCUAUUUCUCCCUUCAGCUCUUCCAUCAGGCUGGCAUUUGGGAAAACAUCAGGGUUCGAGGGGACCCUCCGAGAACUCAUGCCAUCCUGAAGAUGCAGCCGCAGCUGGCAUUCAUGCGAUGUGUUUGCGAAACAAAAUGUGAUGGGAGGGACGUGUGGGAGAGAGAGAGAAAAGGCAGAAAGACUCGGCAAGUUGGGCAAACCCUUGCCCUGAGAAAGGACCGUGGCAAUCAAACGUGCUUUUCCAUUGGCCUAGCAAACUCAGUCACGUCUGCAAAAUUUGAGUUUCUCUUCCAAAGGAGUGUCCACAGUAAGAAAUGCAAAGUGUACGAAAUUCAUGCAUUGUCGGCCAUUGUGUUUUCCUACACUUUUGUGUUUGAUGCCAACGUGAAGGUCCCCAAGAGCGGCCCCAGCCACAGGAGAGGAGCCUGGAGGCCGCGGCAAUGCGCUGGCCGGGAUGAGUGGCCAAGGCUGGCGGGGGUCCACCUCCCAGAACACCCGCCCCUUAGGUUUUCAAAGAAGCCUGGGACCUCCCCGUGGGACCCCCACGAGGCCAGCUCCCAGUUUCCAGGAGCCAGACUCUGUGUUUUCCAGUCCAGUUUCCUGAAAACACCCAGCAGCGUUCCGGGCCCAGACAUUUGUGUGAAACCCCGGACGUCUAACAGACGUGGUUUCCUGGGAAUAGAGAUGUGGCCCCUGAGGCAGGAGACAGGGCGGGGAGGGGAGCGCAGGGGGAGGAAGUUACGGAGAGAAAGUUUUUAUCCUGAGAAAUAAAAUGUUGUCUUUGUCUUUCUCUGAAAAGGCCGCAGGACAUUGGAAAAAGCCCAGGUUGAAGCGUUGGACCCACGUUCAAAUCUGACCCAUCGGGUCCGAGUCCCCUGAGCCGGAGCCUCUCGACCUUGAGCGUCAGGCGCUGGUGGGGCCCCUGACGCUUUGCUGAGCACAGUCGCCGCUGAGAGCCCUCGGCCGCUUCCAUCCUGGGAAGGACAAGGCCCUUCCCCUCCUCUCCAUUCUCUGCGAUUACGUUUUCCAGAAGGUUUGUCGCUCGGUUUUUUUUCAUCACCUGCUCUGUGUAUUUGGUCUGAAUUUUGGGUUUAAGCUUUUACUGUCUCGCCAGUAUUUUCUCUCCAAAACCAACACAUCAUUAAGGAAAAAAAGCUCAGUGGUUUUUAGUGCUGUUAUUAAUAAAAAAUAAAAUAGCCACGUGGGGCCGGAGAGGGAUUAGCGUGGCCCCGACUCUGUUCCCCCUUGAUUACCCAUCAUGUGUCCAUGCCAGAGAUAAAGGGGGUCCAGGGACCUCCCCCCUUUCCCUCGAAAAGUUUAUUAAAAUGAUAAAUGAGGUUUUGGUGGCAGUUAAGCGACUAUAAAGUGUCCUCUGUGGACAAACCCCACCCCUGCUAGUUAGGGACGCGCCGACCGGGAGAGCUGGCUGGUGCCCGAACAUCAGGCCGGUCGUCAAGGUUACCGAGACUCCAGGAUUCCCGGACACGGAAUAUUCCAGGACGACAGGGCACAGAUCAUAAACAUCCGACGUCCCGAAGCCUCCUCCUGCACGGAUCAUUUUCUUGGAAUUCAUCUCGAGAGAAACAGUGCAUGUAUAAUUCUCCUAACGGAGCUGCGCACCGACAAGGAGCAACGAGGCGGCCGGGUAAUGGCCCCGUGUCCCAUCUGUCCCGGGGCGCGGGCGGCACCCUCGCUGUCCACGGGACCCCUCCGACCAGGAGGCAGCUCUCUGCCCCCGCCGCCUGCCUUGUGUCCAAAAGCAGGGAGACUGUAGAGGAUUCAGGGUCAUGGGUACGGCCUCACGGUGCACCGUCCAUUCUGAAGGCUCUCUGGGCCCUUAAGUGUUGCCGUGUUUCAAAUGGAUCUUAACAAACACCCU